Molecule: ribosomal RNA, 679 nt
Filed under: bacterium enrichment culture clone ADE_10
Lineage: Bacteria
Description: bacterial SSU rRNA
Rfam family: Bacterial small subunit ribosomal RNA
Source: RNAcentral
UAGAGUUUGAUCCUGGCUCAGAUUGAACGCUGGCGGCAUGCUUUACACAUGCAAGUCGAACGGCAGCGCGGGCUUCGGCCUGGCGGCGAGUGGCGAACGGGUGAGUAAUAUAUCGGAACGUACCCAGAAGUGGGGGAUAACGUAGCGAAAGUUACGCUAAUACCGCAUACGAUCUACGGAUGAAAGUGGGGGACCUUCGGGCCUCAUGCUUUUGGAGCGGCCGAUAUCUGAUUAGCUAGUUGGUGAGGUAAAGGCUCACCAAGGCGACGAUCAGUAGCUGGUCUGAGAGGACGACCAGCCACACUGGGACUGAGACACGGCCCAGACUCCUACGGGAGGCAGCAGUGGGGAAUUUUGGACAAUGGGCGCAAGCCUGAUCCAGCAAUGCCGCGUGAGUGAAGAAGGCCUUCGGGUUGUAAAGCUCUUUUGUCAGGGAAGAAACGGUCUAGGCUAAUAUCCUGGGCUAAUGACGGUACCUGAAGAAUAAGCACCGGCUAACUACGUGCCAGCAGCCGCGGUAAUACGUAGGGUGCAAGCGUUAAUCGGAAUUACUGGGCGUAAAGCGUGCGCAGGCGGUUUUGUAAGUCUGUCGUGAAAGCCCCGGGCUUAACCUGGGAAUUGCGAUGGAGACUGCAAGGCUUGAAUCUGGCAGAGGGGGGUAGAAUUCCACGUGUAGCAG